CACUUUUCCGAUCCUCAGACAGGACGAGUUGGGGAUGAGCCGUGUCUGGAUCCAGAGUCACAUGCGCUGGGGAGAUAGAAUCAGAGCGAGUCUCUACCUGAGCUG
Non-coding RNA from Chelonoidis abingdonii (Abingdon island giant tortoise), 105 nucleotides. The record is from RefSeq and is a predicted model, not a curated record. NCBI's taxonomy places the organism in Eukaryota, Metazoa, Chordata, Testudines, Testudinidae.